RNAcentral lists this ribosomal RNA (440 nucleotides) under uncultured bacterium. Its description in RNAcentral is "partial 16S ribosomal RNA". It matches the Rfam family "Bacterial small subunit ribosomal RNA", at positions 338 to 795 of the family's 1533-position model. The record is from RNAcentral.
CCUACGGGUGGCAGCAGUGGGGAAUAUUGCACAAUGGGGGAAACCCUGAUGCAGCGACGUCGCGUGAGUGAUGAAGUAUUUCGGUAUGUAAAGCUCUAUCAGCAGGGAAGAAAAUGACGGUACCUGACUAAGAAGCCCCGGCUAACUACGUGCCAGCAGCCGCGGUAAUACGUAGGGGGCAAGCGUUAUCCGGAUUUACUGGGUGUAAAGGGAGCGUAGACGGCGGUGCAAGCCAGAUGUGAAAGCCCGGGGCUCAACCCCGGGACUGCAUUUGGAACUGUGCUGCUAGAGUGUCGGAGAGGCAGGCGGAAUUCCUAGUGUAGCGGUGAAAUGCGUAGAUAUUAGGAGGAACACCAGUGGCGAAGGCAGCUUACUAAACUGCCACUGACAUUGAUGCUCGAAAGUGUGGGUAUCAAACAGGAUUAGAUACCCUAGUAGUC